This 133-nucleotide small nucleolar RNA is filed under the name Echinops telfairi (small Madagascar hedgehog). The record is from RNAcentral. Lineage: Eukaryota; Metazoa; Chordata; Mammalia; Afrosoricida; Tenrecidae.
UUGCAAACUUGAUCACUCGCUCUGCAUGAUGCUGCAGAAGCAAGGGGAACCAGGUUUGCUAAAGUAAUUGUGGGAUAAUAAUGGUUUUAGCCUCACGGAUUACCGAGGUGGCCCAUUCUUUCCUACUGCAGUU